CUAUGAUUGACAGCGGCGCGAGCCAAUAGCGAUAAGCAGGAGGAGGGGCAGCACAUGGCUCGGAGGCCGCGUGGGCGAACGCGCUUUAUUGAUGUGGGGGAGGGGCUGGGGGGGGUCCCCAAACUGAGGGGGAGGCUCAGGAUCGACCCCCCCAAAACCUGAGCAGGGGUUUGAGCGUCCUCACGGCCACAAUCCUGGGGUUUGUCCCCACAUCCUCCUUAGGUGUCCCCCAAAUCCUCCUUAGGUGUCCCCCAAAUCCUUGGGUGUCCCCCAAAUCCUUGGGUGUCCCCCAAUUCCUUGGUGUCCCCAAAUCCUCUUUGAGUGUCCCCAAGUCCUUGGGUGUCCUCAAAUCCUUGAGUGUCCCCAAAUCCUUAGGGGUACCCAAAUCCUUGGUGUCCCCAAAUCCUUGGGUGUCCCCAUUUCCUUGGGUGUCCCCAAAUCCCCUCAGGUGUCCCCAAAUCCUUGGGUGUCCCCAAGUCCUUGGGUGUCCCCAAAUCCCCUCAGGUGUCCCCAAAUCCUUGGGUGUCCCCAAAUCCUUGGUGUCCCCACUUUUGGAGGGGGGUUGUGUCCACUCAGGGGGGGUUCGUGUCCCCUCAGGACCCUCAGGACAAAAUGUCCCCACAGUGUCCCCCAAAUCCUUGGGUGUCCCCAUUUCAUUGGUGUCCCCAAAUCCCCUCAUGUGUCCUCAAAUCCCUGGUGUCCCCACUUUUGGGGGGUUGUGUCCCCUCAGGAGAUUUGUGUCCCCUCAGCACAAAAUGUCCCCACACAGCGUCCCCAUCAUUGUCCCCGCAGCGUUGGAGUGUCCCCGUUGAUCCUCGCAGCGUCCUCUCCGUCACCUCUCCCACCCCAGAUUUCUGGGGUUCCCCUGAAGAAUUUUUGGGGUUCCCCUGAAGAAUUUUGGGGUUCCCGGGUUUUGGGGCUCAGGGCUGCAUCCUCAGGGCCCCGUCCAGCCUCACCACCUCGCCGUUGACCAUGGGGUUCUCGGCCAGGGCCUGCACCAGGUGCGCGAACUCGGCGGGGUCCCCGAGGCGGGACGGGAACGGCACCUGCUGGCCCAGGAAGCGCCGAACCUUCUCUGGGAGCCCGGCCAGGAGAGGGGUGGAGAACAGCCCUGGGA
Molecule: long non-coding RNA, 1117 nt
Filed under: Junco hyemalis (dark-eyed junco)
Lineage: Eukaryota; Metazoa; Chordata; Aves; Passeriformes; Passerellidae
Description: lncRNA (ENSJHYG00000001236.1)
Source: RNAcentral